UUGCUGGGGGACGCCUUCCUGCACCUCAUCCCCCACGCCCUGGGUGCGAUUUUGGGUCAUUUUGGGUCAUUUUGGGGCGUUUUGGGGUGUUUUGGGGUUUUUUGGGGUGUUUUUGGGGUGGUUUUGGGUGGUUCUUGGGCUGGUUUUUGGGGCUGUUUUGGGGUUUGCUGGGGGACGCCUUCCUGCACCUCAUCCCCCACGCCCUGGGUGCGAUUUUGGGACAUUUUGGGGUGUUUUGGGGCUUUUUGGGUCAUUUUGGGGUGUUUUGGGGUUUUUUUGGUUGUUUUUGGGCUGUUUUUGGGGCUGUUUGGGGUUGAUUUUGGUAUGAUUUGGGGCGGUUUGGGGUGGUUUUGGGACAUUUUGGGCUUGUUUUGGGGCUGGUUUUGGGUGUUUUGGAACAUUUUGGGGUGUUUUGGGGUGUUUUUGGGCUGUUUUGGGGUGUUUUGGGGUUUUUUGGGGUGUUUUUGGGGCUGUUUCUGGGCGGUUUUAGGGUGAUUUUUGGGUGGUUCUUGGGGUGUUUUUGGGGCUGUUUUGGGGUUUGCUGGGGGACGCCUUCCUGCACCUCAUCCCCCACGCCCUGGCCCCCCACGAGCACCACGAGGGUCACGGCCACUCCCACCACGGGCACGGGCAGGCUCUGGCCGUGGGGCUCUGGGUCCUGGCAGGAAUCGUCGCCUUCCUGGGGGUGGAGCUGGGCGUCCGGCACUGCGGCCACGGCCACGGCCACGGUGAGACCGGGGGGGAGAAUGGGGGAAAAAACGGGGAUUUUGGGAAAAAAUGAGAAUUUGGGGGGAAAAAUGGGGAUUUUGGGGGGAAAAAUUGGGGAUUUUGGGGAAAAAACGGGGAUUUUUGGGAAGAAAAUGGGAUUUUGGGGGAAAAAAUGGGGGAUUUGGGGGAAAGAAUGGGGAUUUUUGG
RNAcentral lists this long non-coding RNA (915 nucleotides) under Cyanistes caeruleus (blue tit). Its description in RNAcentral is "lncRNA (ENSCCEG00000001950.1)". Lineage: Eukaryota; Metazoa; Chordata; Aves; Passeriformes; Paridae. The record is from RNAcentral.